AUGCUACCGGAUGGGGACAUUAUUGAAAAUCAUGAUGAAAAAGCAGCGGCUUUCUGUGAGUGUUUUAAAAAUAGAAUGGGUGUUUCGAAUCAUCUUGAGUUUGACUUUGAGCUUGCAGAUCUAGUGCACAAAUGUCAAGGUCUUCAGGAGCUCUCUGUCCCUUUCACCAAAGAGGAGAUCGAUCAUGUGAUAAAAUUAAUCCCUGCUAAUCGAGCACCGGGGCCAGAUGGGUUUAACGGUCUUUUUCUAAAUGUUUGUUGGGGGAUUAUUAAAGAGGAUUUCUAUCAACUUUGUCAAGACUUUUGGGAAGGUAAAGUGAACCUGAGCUGUCUCAACACCUCUCUAAUUACCUUGAUCCUAAAGAAGCUGACCCCAGAAACAGUUAACGACUAUAGGCUGAUUUCCUUGUUGAAUUGUGUGCUCAAGGUGAUUACUAAGACUUUAGCUGAAAGACUCCAAUGGUGGAUCCUUAAAACAGUUCACCGAAACCAAUAUGGUUUCUUAAAGACUAGGACAAUACAAGAUUGUCUCGGUUGGGCAUUCGAGUAUUUGCAUCAGUGUAAGCACUCUGGAAAUGAGAUCGUCAUUCUGAAACUAGACUUCGAAAAAGUGUUUGACACUAUGGAACACGAGUUCAUUUUGAAAAUGCUUAAAUGCAAAGGUUUUGAUGAUAGAUGGUGCAUGUCGAUAAAGAUGUUGCUUGAUUCAGGAUCUUCGUCUAUUCUUCUUAACGGUAUACCCGGUAAGGAGUUCAAAUGCAAGCGAGGAGUGAGACAAAGGGGAUCCAAUAUCAACUUUACUUUUUGUGCUGGCAGCGGAUUUUCUUCAAUCUCUAAUAAAUAA
This 843-nucleotide ribosomal RNA is filed under the name Triticum aestivum (bread wheat). Its description in RNAcentral is "partial small subunit ribosomal RNA". The record is from RNAcentral. Lineage: Eukaryota; Viridiplantae; Streptophyta; Magnoliopsida; Poales; Poaceae.